This 294-nucleotide ribosomal RNA is filed under the name uncultured bacterium. Its description in RNAcentral is "partial 16S ribosomal RNA". It matches the Rfam family "Bacterial small subunit ribosomal RNA", at positions 337 to 623 of the family's 1533-position model. The record is from RNAcentral.
UCCUACGGGGCGCAGCAGUAGGGAAUUUUCGUCAAUGGGCGCAAGCCUGAACGAGCAAUGCCGCGUGAACGAGGAAGGUCUUCGGAUCGUAAAGUUCUGUUGAAGGGGAAAAAGAGCGGAGAGAGGAAAUGGUCUCCGAUUGAUAUUACCCUUCGAGGAAGUCACGGCUAACUACGUGCCAGCAGCCGCGGUAAUACGUAGGUGGCAAGCGUUGUCCGGAUUUAUUGGGCGUAAAGCGAGUGCAGGCGGGUCAAUAAGUCUGAUGUGAAAACCUUCGGCUCAACCGGGGAAUUG